Molecule: ribosomal RNA, 293 nt
Filed under: uncultured bacterium
Lineage: Bacteria
Description: partial 16S ribosomal RNA
Rfam family: Archaeal small subunit ribosomal RNA
Source: RNAcentral
GUGCCAGCCGCCGCGGUAAUACGGAGGGUGCAAGCGAUGUCCCAUAUUAUUGGGCCUAAAGCGUCCGUAGCUGGCCGACCAAGUCUCCCGGGAAAUCCACCCGCCCAACGGGUGGGCGUCCGGUAGAAACUGGCCGGCUUGGAACCGGAAGGCUCGGAGAGUACGUCCGGGGUAGGAGUGAAAUCCCGUAAUCCCGGACGGACUACCGAUGGCGAAAGCACUCUGAGAAGACGGCUUCGACAGUGAGGGACGAAAGCUCGGGUCUCAAACCGGAUUAGAUACCCCUGUAGUCC